UGUGGCUUAGCAGCUUGGUCUUCGGUAGGCAGUCGACUCAUAAUCGAUCGGUCGCAGGUUCGAGUCCUGCCGGGCCCA
Molecule: transfer RNA, 78 nt
Filed under: Planctomycetota bacterium
Lineage: Bacteria; Pseudomonadati; Planctomycetota
Also listed under: 1 other name
Description: tRNA-Ile
Rfam family: tRNA
About the family: Transfer RNA (tRNA) molecules are approximately 80 nucleotides in length. Their secondary structure includes four short double-helical elements and three loops (D, anti-codon, and T loops).
Source: RNAcentral